RNAcentral lists this ribosomal RNA (1380 nucleotides) under metagenome. RNAcentral's name for it is "bacterial LSU rRNA". It matches the Rfam family "Bacterial large subunit ribosomal RNA", at positions 1463 to 2823 of the family's 2925-position model. The record is from RNAcentral.
GAUGAGAGGACGGAGAAGGUUAAGUCAGCCUGGCGAUGGUUGUCCAGGUGAAAGGUUGUAGGCAUGUAUCUUAGGCAAAUCCGGGGUACUCUAUGCUGAGAACUGAUAGCAAGCUGUACUUGUACAGCGAAGUGGCUGAUACCAUGCUUCCAGGAAAAGUCUCUAAGCUUCAGUUACACAGGAAUCGUACCCGAAACCGACACAGGUGGUCAGGUCGAGUAGACCAAAGCGCUUGAGAGAACUCUGCUGAAGGAACUAGGCAAAAUGGUACCGUAACUUCGGGAGAAGGUACGCUGUCGACGGUGAUGGGAUUUACUCCCUGAGCGGUUGACAGCCACAGAAACCAGGCCCCUGCAACUGUUUAUUAAAAACAUAGCACUCUGCAAACACGAAAGUGGACGUAUAGGGUGUGAUGCCUGCCCGGUGCUGGAAGGUUAAUUGAUGGGGUUAGCGUAAGCGAAGCUCUUGAUCGAAGCCCCAGUAAACGGCGGCCGUAACGAUAACGGUCCUAAGGUAGCGAAAUUCCUUGUCGGGUAAGUUCCGACCUGCACGAAUGGCUUAAUGAUGGGGGCGCUGUCUCCAGCAGAGACUCAGUGAAAUCGAAUUCGCCGUGAAGAUGCGGUAUACCCGCGGCUAGACGGAAAGACCCCGUGAACCUUUACUGCAGCUUGACAUUGAACUUUGAUCUUACUUGUGUAGGAUAGGUGGGAGGCUUUGAAACCGAGACGCUAGUUUCGGUGGAGCCAAUCUUGAAAUACCACCCUGGUAAUAUUGAGGUUCUAACUCUGCUCCAUAAUCUGGAGCGAGGACCAUGUCUGGUGGGUAGUUUGACUGGGGCGGUCUCCUCCUAAAGAGUAACGGAGGAGUACGAAGGUGCGCUCAGCGUGGUCGGAAAUCACGCGUAGAGUAUAAAGGCAAAAGCGCGCUUAACUGCGAGACCCACAAGUCGAGCAGGUACGAAAGUAGGUCUUAGUGAUCCGGUGGUUCUGUAUGGAAGGGCCAUCGCUCAACGGAUAAAAGGUACUCUGGGAUAACAGGCUGAUACCGCCCAAGAGUUCAUAUCGACGGCGGUGUUUGGCACCUCGAUGUCGGCUCAUCUCAUCCUGGGGCUGAAGCAGGUCCCAAGGGUAUGGCUGUUCGCCAUUUAAAGAGGUACGCGAGCUGGGUUUAGAACGUCGUGAGACAGUUCGGUCCCUAUCUACCGUGGGCGCUGGAAAUUUGAGAGGAUCUGCUCCUAGUACGAGAGGACCAGAGUGGACGAACCUCUGGUGUACCGGUUGUGACGCCAGUCGCAUCGCCGGGUAGCUAUGUUCGGAAGGGAUAACCGCUGAAAGCAUCUAAGCGGGAAGCCUACCUCAAGAUAAGAUUUCCCUGUGACUU